AUUGAACGCUGGCGGCAUGCUUUACACAUGCAAGUCGAACGGCAGCGCGGGCUUCGGCCUGGCGGCGAGUGGCGAACGGGUGAGUAAUGCAUCGGAACGUGCCCAGUAGUGGGGGAUAGCCCGGCGAAAGCCGGAUUAAUACCGCAUACGACCUGAGGGUGAAAGCGGGGGACCGAAAGGCCUCGCGCUAUUGGAGCGGCCGAUGUCGGAUUAGCUAGUUGGUGGGGUAAAGGCUUACCAAGGCGACGAUCCGUAGCUGGUCUGAGAGGACGACCAGCCACACUGGAACUGAGACACGGCCCAGACUCCUACGGGAGGCAGCAGUGGGGAAUAUUGGACAAUGGGGGCAAGCCUGAUCCAGCCAUGCCGCGUGCGGGAAGAAGGCCUUCGGGUUGUAAAGCGCUUUUGUUCGGGAAGAAAUCCUCUGGGCUAAUACCCCGGGGGGAUGACGGUACCGAAAGAAUAAGCACCGGCUAACUACGUG
This 484-nucleotide ribosomal RNA is filed under the name uncultured bacterium. Its description in RNAcentral is "partial 16S ribosomal RNA". It matches the Rfam family "Bacterial small subunit ribosomal RNA", at positions 29 to 507 of the family's 1533-position model. The record is from RNAcentral.